RNAcentral lists this unclassified non-coding RNA (904 nucleotides) under Hevea brasiliensis (rubber tree). Lineage: Eukaryota; Viridiplantae; Streptophyta; Magnoliopsida; Malpighiales; Euphorbiaceae. The record is from RNAcentral.
UAAUAAUUGGUGCAUUGAUACAAAAUAUUAAAAAUAUAUGAAUUAAAGUGUUGUUAAACUCGGACAAUUUUCAACUCACUAACAGUAAAUUUUAACCUAAUGACAAACAUACCUCAAAAACCAACUUGUUUGUAAUAAAGAAAAAAAAAUAUGAAUUUUGCCAUAACUCAAAAACCAAUUGUAAAUCACCCGAGGCAAUUUGAAGAUACAUCACAACAUUUGAAACAAGGUUGAGCAAAAGUACCGACUUGGUUAAAAAUCAGACUCCAUAUCCAGCCUGUUUUGAUUAGGAAAAGAGAGAAGAAAUCAGGGGGAAAAAAAAGAAAAAAACAAAUGUUAAUACAAAACUCGAAACAAAAUCAAAUAUAUAUACAGCAGAUUUGAAAUAAAUUUUACACAAAACCUGCACUCAGGUGGAUGAUUUCCUCUCUUUCACCAAUUAUGACAGCAAUAACAUAAAAAAUUAACAGAGAAAAUCUACAUUAUGCAGUAGAAAUCACGAAUAACAUGAUCUGCUAUAUGCGAUCAUGCGGCAGUCACAAAACCACUGCCAUUUUCCAGAACCGUUGAGAGCCCAUCAGGCAUAACAAGAUCUUUGUAUUUUACGAUUUACCAGUUCAGUCCAAAGACAGUAUCAGCCUCAUGAAUUUCUGAACACCAAUUUGACCAUGGAGGACACCACCUUCCCAAUACACAUUUCUUCAUUCAUUCUUGGUCUCAGUGAGAUGUGUCUGAUCCAUUUAUAGCAAUCAAGUUGUACAUACAGCAGCAAGGUUAAAUGUUGAAAAAUGUAGUAGUCAUAUGAUGUCAACAAGAGCCUGUGGGCGAGGCCUUGAUCUCAUUAUUGUCUCAUCACUGUGUUUGAUCCAUUCUGAGAGCUUCCAUGGCUUCUGCCACUUCCAUU